AUUGAACGCUGGCGGCAGGCCUAACACAUGCAAGUCGGACGGUAGCACAGAGGAGCUUGCUCCUUGGGUGACGAGUGGCGGUCGGGUGAGUAAUGUCUGGGGAUCUGCCCGAUAGAGGGGGAUAACCACUGGAAACGGUGGCUAAUACCGCAUAACGUCGCAAGACCAAAGAGGGGGACCUUCGGGCCUCUCACUAUCGGAUGAACCCAGAUGGGAUUAGCUAGUAGGCGGGGUAAUGGCCCACCUAGGCGACGAUCCCUAGCUGGUCUGAGAGGAUGACCAGCCACACUGGAACUGCGACACGGUCCAGACUCCUACGGGAGGCAGCAGUGGGGAAUAUUGCACAAUGGGCGCAAGCCUGAUGCAGCCAUGCCGCGUGUAUGAAGAAGGCCUUCGGGUUGUAAAGUACUUUCAGCGGGGAGGAAGGCGAUGCGGUUAAUAACCGCAUCGAUUGACGUUACCCGCAGAAGAAGCACCGGCUAACUCCGUGCCAGCCGCCGCCGUAA
Molecule: ribosomal RNA, 506 nt
Filed under: uncultured bacterium
Lineage: Bacteria
Description: partial 16S ribosomal RNA
Rfam family: Bacterial small subunit ribosomal RNA
Source: RNAcentral